This 253-nucleotide ribosomal RNA is filed under the name uncultured bacterium. RNAcentral's name for it is "partial 16S ribosomal RNA". It matches the Rfam family "Bacterial small subunit ribosomal RNA", at positions 524 to 776 of the family's 1533-position model. The record is from RNAcentral.
UACGUAGGGCGCAAGCGUUGUCCGGAAUUAUUGGGCGUAAAGAGCUCGUAGGCGGUCUGUCACGUCUGCUGUGAAAACUCAGGGCUUAACCCUGAGCUUGCAGUGGGUACGGGCAGACUAGAGUGCGGUAGGGGAGACUGGAAUUCCUGGUGUAGCGGUGAAAUGCGCAGAUAUCAGGAGGAACACCGGUGGCGAAGGCGGGUCUCUGGGCCGGAACUGACGCUAAGGAGCGAAAGCGUGGGGAGCGAACAGG